This 1152-nucleotide long non-coding RNA is filed under the name Macaca mulatta (Rhesus monkey). Its description in RNAcentral is "lncRNA (ENSMMUG00000056393.1)". Lineage: Eukaryota; Metazoa; Chordata; Mammalia; Primates; Cercopithecidae. The record is from RNAcentral.
AUGUGUCAGAGGCCCUUCCUGGAGCCAAUGACUCUCCUGAAAGAAAGCACUCUGGGUUCCCCACUUACUCUGUCAUCUUGGCAGCUGGCAGCAACUCAUUCCGGUAAUCUCUCUCUUCCACCAUCCCUGGUUUUGGCAGUAAAAAAUGCACCACAAAAUAUGAAGAAAUUUGGAGAAGGAGGAAAAGUCUUACCAGUAAAUAUAGCCAAGGCAUCAGCAAAACGAUGAAACUGAUAUAUAGCUGUUUUCCUCUUGCAAAAGACUUUUUCAUCUGACAAGAUACACACGAUAGAUGAAAACAUUAAAUGUGAAAAAUAUGUAAGUAGCAGGUGCUGAGCUUUGUAUAAUGAGUUGUGUGUUCAUUUCUUCUUGAAGGUGAGAAACAGUUCAACCACAGCUGGGGUGGGUGGAGAAACAUAAUUCUUAGUGAUGUAUAGUGAAAAUCAUAGCCCACCAGCUCAGCCAUACAGCACUUGAAGAGGUCAUGAUUAUGAAGGGCCGCACACAAGAGCCAGAUGUAUACCAGUGACAAGGAAUACGCAUUUUCUUCAGAUGUCACAAGUCCUCUUUUUCAUUGUUGAGUAAUGACUAUAACAGCAUCACUUAGUUCAACCAACAGUAUCUGUGAUGGGGCAGAAGAAAACCUCAAGACAGUAUUAGUGUUCAAAUAACACGAGUUUCACAAACACCCAGAACAGUUUCUUUUUUGCAAUGAUUCAUAGAUGAUUAAAAAAAAAAAAACUGUAAGACAAUUUCCUGUGGUGAAUUUAUAACCAUAGCUUUUGAAUUAUUGAAAAACAAUGCUUUCAAGUUGGCCAUCUCUAUGAUGCUGGUCAUCUUGGUGUUUGGGUGUUCAGAGCCAUUAAACUACAACAAAGCACAUAAAUAUAAAGUGACAAAAAGAGUCCUUGCCUGUCUCUCCAAGCCAGCAGCUUCUCAUCGGGAAUAACGGUUUCAGAGGGGAGGGUUAGAAGAUUCCUUAGAUAGAUUCAUGGUGGCUUCCAGAUGGCUGAUACAAAAGCCAGAGGGAGGCUUGGGUAGGCAGUCAUUUGAUAGCUGGUUUAUGACGAGGAUAGCAAAAUGAAUUUCCAGAUAUAUUUCCAACUAGAGGCCUUAGAAUCUCUCACCCAGGGUUUCUGUUGUAAAUUAAAA